Molecule: ribosomal RNA, 253 nt
Filed under: uncultured bacterium
Lineage: Bacteria
Description: partial 16S ribosomal RNA
Rfam family: Bacterial small subunit ribosomal RNA
Source: RNAcentral
UACGAAGGGGGCUAGCGUUGCUCGGAAUUACUGGGCGUAAAGGGCGCGUAGGCGGCCGAUCAAGUCAGGCGUGAAAUUCCCGGGCUCAACCUGGGGGCUGCGCUUGAGACUGGUUGGCUAGAGGCCGAGAGAGGGUGGUGGAAUUCCCAGUGUAGAGGUGAAAUUCGUAGAUAUCGGGAGGAACAUCAGUGGCGAAGGCGGCUGCCUGGCCCAAUACUGACACUCAGGUGCGACAGCGUGGGGAGCAAACAGG